This 301-nucleotide ribosomal RNA is filed under the name uncultured bacterium. RNAcentral's name for it is "bacterial SSU rRNA". It matches the Rfam family "Bacterial small subunit ribosomal RNA", at positions 505 to 805 of the family's 1533-position model. The record is from RNAcentral.
GUGGCAGCAGCCGCGGUAAUACGGAGGGGGCUAGCGUUGUUCGGAAUUACUGGGCGUAAAGGGUGCGCAGGCGGUUUUGUAAGACAGGUGUGAAAUCCCCGGGCUUAACCUGGGAACUGCGCUUGUGACUGCAAGACUUGAGUGCGGCAGAGGGGGGUGGAAUUCCACGUGUAGCAGUGAAAUGCGUAGAGAUGCGGAGGAACACCGAUGGCGAAGGCAAUCCCCUGGGCCUGCACUGACGCUCAUGCACGAAAGCGUGGGGAGCAAACAGGAUUAGAUACCCUGGUAGUCCACGCCCUAA